Molecule: ribosomal RNA, 480 nt
Filed under: uncultured bacterium
Lineage: Bacteria
Description: partial 16S ribosomal RNA
Rfam family: Bacterial small subunit ribosomal RNA
Source: RNAcentral
GGGGGGGGGGGGGGGGGGGGUGCGCGCGGGCGGGGCGGGCGGUGAGGCGUUGACAGAGGCCUUGGGGGCGGGGAUAAAGGGGGUUAGCGGCGGCCGGGUGAGUAACACGUGAGUAAGCUGCCUUCGACAUUGGGGUCGCCUCGGGACACCGGGAUUCAUACCAACUAGAAUCAUAAUUACACAUUUCAUCACGAUCCAAACUCCGGUGGUAUAAGAUUGACUCGCGUCCCAUUAGCUAGUUGGUAGAGUAAAAUCCUACCAAGGCGACGAUGGGUAGCCGGCCUGAGAGGGUGAGCGGCCACAUUGGAACUGAGAAACUGUCCAAACUCCUACGGGAGGCAGCAGUGGGGAAUAUUGCACAAUGGAGGGAACGCUGAUGCAGCGACGCCGCGUGAACGAAGAAGGCUUUCGAGUCGUAAAGUUCUUUUAUAUGGGAAGAUAAUGACGGUACCAGAAGAAAAAGCCCCGGCUAACUAAGUG